Molecule: long non-coding RNA, 673 nt
Filed under: Solanum tuberosum (potato)
Lineage: Eukaryota; Viridiplantae; Streptophyta; Magnoliopsida; Solanales; Solanaceae
Description: long non-coding RNA (STUB_LNC005989)
Source: RNAcentral
GGUAGUAUAUGGAUUUUAGAAUAUAGUAGUGUAAUAUAUGGUAGUGUAGUAAAUAUUAGAAUAUAAUAAAUUUUCUUAUAUUAUUCAUAACUCUUACUUAUUGAUUCUCAUCUUCGUGUUUGCAUGUGAAAUUUGUCCGGGUCCUCACGGACUCUAUCCUCGCAUUUUCCUUUGGGCCACGAAGGCCCAUAUCCCCUUUUAUCCGUGUCAACCAGAUAUUAAAGUCGACGAACAGGUCCCAGAGUUGAAAGGACAUGCAACAAUUUGGAGAAUUGAAAAUUGGGCCAAUUUUAAUUUCAGAAGAUUGUAUUUUGUUAUUUUUGGGCCUAAGCCCUUGUUAUUUUACUUUUAUCUUAUUAGUAUUUAGGACAGGUGGAAGACGGGCCUAAGGUCCAAAGAAAUCACUUUUAUGUUAGUUUAGGACAGGUGCAGAUAACUCAAAUGGGCCGAAGGCCCAAAACGAAAAUGGGCCCAAAUACUGGUCCAGGCGGACAGAAACCAGAUUUGGGUCCAACCCUCUUUCCCUCUUUACUUUACUGUAUUUGUUUUUGCUUGUUAGUAUUUGUCGUUAAUCUUAGGGUUGAAAAGUUCAAAUCCCCAAAAGACGCUCAUUUCGUUUUUAACAACUUAACUAAAUCGAUCAUCUUUCAAAAGACUUAAAAGAAUAAAUUUU